UAGGGAAUCUUCCGCAAUGGGCGAAAGCUUGACGGAGCAACGCCGCGUGAGUGAUGAAGGUCUUCGGAUCGUAAAACUCUGUUAUUAGGGAAGAACAAAUGUGUAAGUAACUAUGCACGUCUUGACGGUACCUAAUCAGAAAGCCACGGCUAACUACGUGCCAGCAGCCGCGGUAAUACGUAGGUGGCAAGCGUUAUCCGGAAUUAUUGGGCGUAAAGCGCGCGUAGGCGGUUUUUUAAGUCUGAUGUGAAAGCCCACGGCUCAACCGUGGAGGGUCAUUGGAAACUGGAAAACUUGAGUGCAGAAGAGGAAAGUGGAAUUCCAUGUGUAGCGGUAAAAUGCGCAGAGAUAUGGAGGAACACCAGUGGCGAAGGCGACUUUCUGGUCUGUAACUGACGCUGAUGUGCGAAAGCGUGGGGAUCAAACAGG
RNAcentral lists this ribosomal RNA (429 nucleotides) under Actinomycetes bacterium. Its description in RNAcentral is "Actinobacteria bacterium partial 16S ribosomal RNA". It matches the Rfam family "Bacterial small subunit ribosomal RNA", at positions 355 to 776 of the family's 1533-position model. Lineage: Bacteria; Bacillati; Actinomycetota; Actinomycetes. The record is from RNAcentral.